GAAAGACUGUUUCUGUCAUUUGCUAUUAAUUGUGUCUUCAGAGAAGAGUUAAAGCGGGGGAAGUUCACCUGGAUUAUUUAAUAUGAAAAUAAAUGUUUCCAGUUUGGUUUAAAAGAAAGCGACUCCGAAUCGAUAUUAUUUUCUUGCAGUAAAAUGCAAAAUCCAGAAAAAAAAGAACUUAAGUAAGGGGGAAUUGCUUUGCUAGUGUUUGCAGCAAACACUUCUAUCACAGAGGCUUAAACUGUCCUGCUGUCUCUCUGCCCGCCUGUUUGCUGUCUCCAGUCAGCUAGAACAUGCUGACCACUUCCUACUAGUCUCAACAGAGACAUUAAAAUGCCAAAAAAGAAGAAUUUUAUUCUUGCAAGAAAAUGUGUGAAGGGGGAGAGACCCACGCUUGGGCUGCCACCAAGAGAAAACCUUCAGCGUGCUCAGCCCCCUUGCCAGACACCGAAAAGCCACAGAAGAGGACCGGCACCCCGCAGCAAUGAAGACUCAGGAGCCUUCAUCGCAGAGCUUGUGCUUACAAACCUGUGUGCAAAAGCUGAAACGUGGGAAUUCCUGACCGGGAAGCGGGAGGGGGCUGCCAGUUCCUAUCAGCCACCAGCCGUCGGGGCAUGUGCAGAAAAUGCUGAUUUCCUCCAGGACCUUCGCACAUCAGCCUGGGUGAAGCAGCUCAUUAAAAGCAACUAAUUGCUGCAGUCAGUUGUGACAUGAAUUUUUCAAGGUUAAUUUAGCUUAGCACUAAGAGUCCUCCAUUUAUCUCCAAAGAGGGCGAACCGUACCUGCCAGGCAGCCACCCCUAUGCUGCAUCUCCCCUCUGCAGACCCUCCAGAGCCAGGAGAUCCGAUGUGGAGCAUCCUCAGGGACCGCUGCGAGGGAGCGUGGGGGAAACCCGACCCAGGGAAGGCAAAGGUGUGGUACCACAGUGCCGUGCUUGAUGCGUGCACCAGCCUUGCUUUGUCCUGAAUGAUUCCUUCAAGAGUCCUUUCAGCCAUUUGCACAACUUACAGGAACACUGGGGAAAGCAGAGGCUGAAACAUGAAAAGUUCACUAAAACUUCCAGGUUCAACUCCCUGAUCCCAUCGCCCCCUAACCAUAAAGUUUCCAUAAAAAAUUCUCCCCACUGAUGGAUUCCCAGGUGGUAUUAAAGAUGGCAGUAACUCUCUGCUGGGUCUUGCUGGAACUGUUACAGUGCUCGGCGUGGAAUCCUUUUCCGCUCCCUCAAAGAACAAAACAAGACCAGAGAAGGAAGCCAACACCGUGCCUUCUCCGGAGGUGGUGUUUCAGGCUGGGCUGUGGGUGGUUGCACCAGAAUCUGCCCUCCUUUUUGGAAAGUCUGUACUAACCAGGCAGUGCUGGGGGUUUGGUGUGUGGGCCACCAAGAGAUGAGGCCACGCAGGAGCAAUGGGGACCUGUGGCCAUCUGCCCUGGUGGUCACCCACAGCACAUCACCAACCAUGUCCCCCCAGGAGACAACUGCAGAGCCCAACCUUGCCAAAUUCUGGGUGCGGUGGGGCUGAGAGCUGGGUCACUGGGGGCACCCCAAGCCCUGUCACCCCCAAACCUGCCCCCCACCCUUGGAGGAGGUGUGUGGUGCUGAAGGGGAGACCACACUGGGGCUCGCCCCACCUCAGCAAGGGCCUUCUUG
This 1648-nucleotide long non-coding RNA is filed under the name Anser cygnoides (Swan goose). RNAcentral describes it as "lncRNA (ENSACDG00005009133.1)". Lineage: Eukaryota; Metazoa; Chordata; Aves; Anseriformes; Anatidae. The record is from RNAcentral.